GCUCCCCACUUUCCAUAGCCAAAAUUGGGAAGGAGAGGUAGAGAGAGAACGAAGAGGCGAAACUAUUUGGUUGUCUUCCAAUCUUCUUCCCUUUCGAUCACCCAGUCUUCUUCUCUGUUGUCGUUAAACAUGGAACACGCAGGUUCCUUUCAUAGGAUUAUUUUUGAUCAUCAUGUUAAUCUUGGUGAUGUUCUACAUGAUUUUGAUAUCCGGAUUGGUUCCCAGGAAAAUCAAUCACAAAUUUUUGGGAACAAAACCAAAUUACAGGCUGCCAAUGUCAUUUCAUUUUUGACAGAGAGUUCAGGCAUAUACACCCAGGUCAUGGUAAUCCAGUUCAAGCUUGAUUUUAGAUGAUGAAAUUCUGGCAUCAAACAAAAGCAGCGUCUUUCUGAUUAUCAGUUGGUGUCGAAACUUUAUCCCACUUUACUUUUGCUGCGGCAUAAUAUGACUACUGAGAGCUUUUGAGCAGCCAGGAUUGUAUGAACUAUGAAACACAUAUUCCUAUGCAACUUUCUGCGGCGGAAAAUGACAUUUACGUAUUAAUGGCAUUUGAAGUCUAAGGCGGGAGUAGAUCGGGACACUGUAAUGGUGUAUCUUAUCCCUAUCGAUGUCAGAACACACCAAUGUGAGCUAAGUGAAAGUUUUGCUAUGGGACAUAAAGUGGCUUGCUAUCAGUUUCAAUAAAAUCUACCAAGGGAGUCAUACUGAACUGUAGAAAAAAGGAACACAAAGUUGGGGUAUUGUGAUUAUGAAAUUCUUUUUUCAACUAAUGUAAUCACGAACAUUCUGGAUUAUGAUAUUAAGCUCUAUAUUUUGCAAGGUGUUUCAAUCUAUCACUUUUGGUUUUCCCAUUCACAUGUCCAAAUGGGUUAGGAUUAAAAAAGAAUUUCACUUUGCUCGAGCUAUGUCCUAUAUACCAUGGUGGAUACUGGAAUUUCGUCCAAAUGGGUAAGGAUUAAAAAAGAAUUUCACUUUGCUCGAGCUAUAUCCUAUAUACCAUGGUGGAUACUGGAAUUUCGGGAACUUCCUGACAUUUGUUUAGUCUUUCUCAAUUAAUUUUUCUUUUCUUUA
Molecule: long non-coding RNA, 1071 nt
Organism: Papaver somniferum (opium poppy)
Lineage: Eukaryota; Viridiplantae; Streptophyta; Magnoliopsida; Ranunculales; Papaveraceae
Exons: 5
Source: RefSeq, a predicted model, not a curated record